GGGAGAUAAGGAGUCUGAAGGAUUUUGGCUUAAGCAGGGUUUUUCAGUUAUUGGUCAAGUUGACACGAAAGGCAGAGCUCGCAAGCUCCCUAUCAAGGCUGAUAUUCGGAAAGCAUUGUGCUUUCCUGGUGGUUCAAAUCUCAUGAUUUCUCAUUUCAAUAAGGAUAACUUACACAGUUCUGCAGUGUAUCUAAAUCUGAAAUUCCCCUUAAAGCCUUUAAGAGAGGAUUGCCAAUCUCCAAUUCUCCAAGAACAAAGGGAUACUCUGUCUGAGGGAAAUAACCAUUCUCCAGGAAGAAGUCAGGCCACUAAAACCAUGGGUUCUAACUACUACGAUUGCCAAGAUUUUCAACCUGGAGAUGGUGCUGUCGGAAGCAAACAUGGACAUAUAGGAUUUAAUGAAAUGGAAAGCCAAACUCUUCUGAAGAAAUGUUCCUGUUCAGCGUCAGAAUCAAACAAAAGGACUUGGGAAACCUCACACACUUGUGUUAAAUCCAAAAAAAUAAAGGGAGGUCAUCAAACUGACUGUGACUUGCAUUCUAAGGACAUUAGCUUAGAAAGUGUUUCGGGGAACAGUUUUUCUGCUAUCUCUAAGAGCAAAUGUCAGGUAGGUAUUACUCCCAAGGAUCAUUUGACAAGCCACUUUCUGGAAAAGAAUGCUGUAGAAGCUACAGCAGAUAAUUUGACAUAUGAAGGGAAUAGUAGUCGAGUCAUUUCUUCAAGAGGGACAAACUUCAGAAUUAUGCUGAUGAACAUUGCUGAUGAUAGUAAAAAGGCAAAUUUGACCAAGAUAAUAGGAGACCUUGGUGGAGAUGUUACUGCUGAUGGAAGUUCAAGCACACACGUAGUCACUGGCAAAGUGAGGAAAACUUUGAAUUUCUGCUCAGCUCUCUGCUCAGGAGCUUGGAUAUUGUCACCAAAUUGGUUGAAAGAAAGUUUCCGAAAUGGCAAAUUUUUAGAUGAAAUGCCUUUUAUUUUGAGGGAUGAAGACUAUGAACUUAAGUACAGAAGUGCGCUAAAAAGGGCAGUUCUUAGAGCAAAAGCAUACCCCCAAGCUCUUCUCAAGGGUUAUGACAUAUGUCUUGCAACUCAUGUUCAUCCUCCAGUUGGUACCUUAUCAGCCAUUGUAAAAUCUGCAGGAGGCAAUGUUAUACGUGGACUCAAUCAAGUGAAAGAUGAAUGUAAAACUAUAUUUGUUGCUUGUGAAGAAGACAUG
This 1216-nucleotide unclassified non-coding RNA is filed under the name Hevea brasiliensis (rubber tree). The record is from RNAcentral. Lineage: Eukaryota; Viridiplantae; Streptophyta; Magnoliopsida; Malpighiales; Euphorbiaceae.